AUAAACCUGGCCCCCUCUUUGGGAGAGCUGUUGGACGCGGCAGCUAAUACCGGAUAUUCUCCUUCCUGCGCAUGUGGGGGGGUGGAAAGUUUUUUCGGUGGGGGAUGGGCUCGCGGCCUAUCAGCUUGUUGGCGGGGUAACGGCCCACCAAGGCAUCGACGGGUAGCUGGUCUGAGAGGACGAUCAGCCACACUGGGACUGAGACACGGCCCAGACUCCUACGGGAGGCAACAGUGGGGAAUCUUGCGCAAUGGGCGAAAGCCUGACGCAGCAACGCCGCGUGGGGGAUGAAGGCUCUCGGGUCGUAAACCCCUUUCAGCAGGGACGAAAUUGACGGUACCUGCAGAAGAAGCCCCGGCCAACUACGUGCCAGCAGCCGCGGUAACACGUAGGGGGCAAGCGUUGUCCGGAUUUAUUGGGCGUAAAGAGCUCGUAGGCGGUUCGGCAAGUCGGGUGUGAAACCUCCAGGCUCAACCUGGAGACGCCACUCGAUACUGCUGUGACUAGAGUCCGGUAGGGGAGCGUGGAAUUCCUGGUGUAGCGGUGAAAUGCGCAGAUAUCAGGAGGAACACCAGCGGCGAAGGCGGCGCUCUGGGCCGGAACUGACGCUGAGGAGCGAAAGCGUGGGGAGCGAAUGGGAUUAGAUACCCCAGUAGUC
RNAcentral lists this ribosomal RNA (658 nucleotides) under uncultured bacterium. RNAcentral describes it as "bacterial SSU rRNA". It matches the Rfam family "Bacterial small subunit ribosomal RNA", at positions 120 to 795 of the family's 1533-position model. The record is from RNAcentral.